UCGAGGGGCAGCAUGACCUAGCAAUAGGUUGAUGGCGACCGGCGCACCGUUGAGUAACACGUAUCCAACCUACCGGUUAUUCCGGGAUAGCCUUUCGAAAGAAAGAUUAAUACCGGAUAGUAUAACGAGAAGGCAUCUUUUUGUUAUUAAAGAAUUUCGAUAACCGAUGGGGAUGCGUUCCAUUAGUUUGUUGGCGGGGUAACGGCCCACCAAGACAUCGAUGGAUAGGGGUUCUGAGAGGAAGGUCCCCCACAUUGGAACUGAGACACGGUCCAAACUCCUACGGGAGGCAGCAGUGAGGAAUAUUGGUCAAUGGACGAGAGUCUGAACCAGCCAAGUAGCGUGAAGGAUGACUGCCCUAUGGGUUGUAAACUUCUUUUAUAUGGGAAUAAAGUGAGCCACGUGUGGCUUUUUGUAUGUACCAUACGAAUAAGGAUCGGCUAACUCCGUGCCAGCAGCCGCGGUAAUACGGAGGAUCCGAGCGUUAUCCGGAUUUAUUGGGUUUAAAGGGAGCGUAGGCGGACUAUUAAGUCAGCUGUGAAAGUUUGCGGCUCAACCGUAAAAUUGCAGUUGAUACUGGUCGUCUUGAGUGCAGUAGAGGUAGGCGGAAUUCGUGGUGUAGCGGUGAAAUGCUUAGAUAUCACGAAGAACUCCGAUUGCGAAGGCAGCUUACUGGACUGUAACUGACGCUGAUGCUCGAAAGUGUGGGUAUCAAACAGGAUUAGAUACCCUGGUAG
Molecule: ribosomal RNA, 737 nt
Filed under: uncultured bacterium
Lineage: Bacteria
Description: bacterial SSU rRNA
Rfam family: Bacterial small subunit ribosomal RNA
Source: RNAcentral